GUAAGUGAAUUGCAGAUUUUCAGUGAAUCAUCGAAUCUUUGAACGCACCUUGCGCCCCUUGGUAUUCCGAGGGGCAUGCCUGUUUGAGUGUCAUU
This 95-nucleotide ribosomal RNA is filed under the name Leccinum populinum. Its description in RNAcentral is "partial 5.8S ribosomal RNA". It matches the Rfam family "5.8S ribosomal RNA", at positions 58 to 154 of the family's 154-position model. Rfam says of the family: 5.8S ribosomal RNA (5.8S rRNA) is a component of the large subunit of the eukaryotic ribosome. The record is from RNAcentral. Lineage: Eukaryota; Fungi; Basidiomycota; Agaricomycetes; Boletales; Boletaceae.